Molecule: ribosomal RNA, 253 nt
Filed under: uncultured bacterium
Lineage: Bacteria
Description: partial 16S ribosomal RNA
Rfam family: Bacterial small subunit ribosomal RNA
Source: RNAcentral
UACGGAGGGGACUAGCGUUGUUCGGAAUUACUGGGCGUAAAGCGCACGUAGGCGGAUUUGUAAGUCAGGGGUGAAAUCCCGGGGCUCAACCUCGGAACUGCCUUUGAUACUGCAAAUCUCGAGUCCGGAAGAGGUGAGUGGAAUUCCUAGUGUAGAGGUGAAAUUCGUAGAUAUUAGGAAGAACACCGGUGGCGAAGGCGGCCCACUGGAUCGGUACUGACGCUGAGGUGCGAAAGCGUGGGGAGCAAACAGG